UCCGGUUUAUCACCGGCAGUCUCGCUAGAGUGCCCAACUAAAUGCUGGCAACUAACAAUAAGGGUUGCGCUCGUUACGGGACUUAACCCAACAUCUCACGACACGAGCUGACGACAACCAUGCACCACCUGUCAUUCUGUCCCCGAAGGGAACACCCUAUCUCUAGGGUUGGCAGAAGAUGUCAAGAGCUGGUAAGGUUCUUCGCGUUGCUUCGAAUUAAACCACAUGCUCCACCGCUUGUGCGGGUCCCCGUCAAUUCUUUUGAGUUUCAGCCUUGCGGCCGUAAUCCCCAGGCGGAGUGCUUAAUGCGUUUGCUCCAGCACUGAAGGGCGGAAACCCUCCAACACUUAGCACUCAUCGUUUACGGCGUGGACUAC
This 377-nucleotide unclassified non-coding RNA is filed under the name uncultured Carnobacteriaceae bacterium. Its description in RNAcentral is "contains 16S-23S intergenic spacer region". The record is from RNAcentral. Lineage: Bacteria; Bacillati; Bacillota; Bacilli; Lactobacillales; Carnobacteriaceae.